RNAcentral lists this non-coding RNA (28 nucleotides) under Cricetulus griseus (Chinese hamster). The record is from RNAcentral. Lineage: Eukaryota; Metazoa; Chordata; Mammalia; Rodentia; Cricetidae.
UAGUCUCAGUGAACUAGGAACUUUCCAG